AAGCAAUUGCUGGUUGUGAGGGGGUCUUUUAAUGAUGCAUCAUUCCAAGUGUUUCUUUAAUUGGGGAAUGUCCCUGAUUCUUACUCUGCUCGAGAAGAACUAAUUAGAGAGUCAUUUCGGCAAGGGUAAAUAGUAUCAUCACAGCACUUAAAAAAUGAGUCACCUGCUUUACGAAAUGUUCUGCAAAGACAAAAGAAAUGGGUCUGAAUUUCCUCGGUUAGGAACUUUGUGUUUUGACCUUGGCUGUGUCACGCUACACAGAUCAACCUGCCUUUUUGUACGAGUGAUGAAUAAAUAGACAAAACCGAAACGACAGCUAACAUGUAUAUAUCUAAGGAAAAAAACCGGUAUCUUCCCAUCUCAAGCCUUCUUACGGCGUUACGUCAACUGGAUUCGUUUUGAAAUUUUACAUUCUCUUUAACACGUUCAGUCUUUUUUAAUUUCAACUUUCUGCAACCAAGCUGUUUUUCCACCGCCAUAUCAACACGAAAUAGAUGAGUUUCCUUCCCUGCAUAUGUAGCACUGACUCCAAAACUCAUUAGAAGUUAUUAGUGAGCAUGCAUGAGAACGUCUUUGAAUCUGCGAAAAGUUCAGCCGGUGCCAUUCAGAAAGACGGCUGAUGGUACUGUCUUACAUAACAGUGUAUAUAGACGGAGAUCGCCUAUCGUUUGCAUCCAGAAUCUUGGGCUCUCCGUAUUACCAUCAAAACAUUAACGAGAUACACACACGUUCUUCGUAGAAACUGACGGGAGGGGAAAGAGUACAUACACCAAUAAAAAUCAAAACGAUUUAAAUGAGGCAAGGCUAUUGGGUACGGAUUCAUGCUGGUAAGUAUAAUGAUGAUUUAACCUUACGAAAUGGAGAAGAUGGACCUUUCUUGUUUUAAACUAGUGUUCUUCGGCAGGAAUGGUUUCAGUUGACAGGAAUCAACAUGGACUAAGAUCUUAUAGUCCUAUUUCACAGGAGUCAACUAGGACUUUCAACUUUAAGUCCGUGUACCUUACCCGUAUAGUACUGAAAGUGAAAUAAUUUCCAUGUUGAAAUUCUUUUGUCUGAGACAAUACUAAUCCAUUACUUACUUGGAUAUGUAUAUAACUUUUAUGAGAGUUUCUUCAAAUAUAAUAACCAGAUUCUCUCACGUAUAAGUGCAGAAUAAAAUUAAUUCAAAAAGUUCAUUUUCCUACAAGCAAGACGGCUGAUUCCAGAUAGAAAAAUUCCACCGACGAAGCCACAGUCUUCCUAUAAGCUGCUUUCACAUUUUGGGUUUGCCAGAAGAGUUCAACAGAGUUGUCUACCCCCUGAUGGUAAGGCGCUUACUACUAACCAGUGUCUCAACCUAAAUGUCGGUCUGUCACCCUCUUGAGUUCAGGAUUGAAGCACUCAACAUCCGGGACUCAACCCUUGUCUAUGGAAACUUUUCCCUUCGUAUUCGACAUGCGUCUCUAUUCUGAUUUAAUUGAUUUUGAUACCAUAUUGUAAAAUGUGAAUUUCAAUGGUGUCAUUAAAAUUACGAAAUUGACAACAUGAAUACUUAGUAAAUUACACAACAUGACACCUGAUUGUAAGAUGAUUUUUCAAUAAAAGAAAUGAAAAUG
Ostrea edulis (European flat oyster) is the source of this 1595-nucleotide long non-coding RNA. RefSeq lists it as uncharacterized. Lineage: Eukaryota; Metazoa; Mollusca; Bivalvia; Ostreida; Ostreidae. The record is from RefSeq and is a predicted model, not a curated record. The transcript is spliced from 2 exons.